AGCUCCUUGAUCUUUGUUUGAAACAGUCACCAGCAGAUUCACAUCUAGUGAGGGUAGCGGCUUGUGCUUCAUUGUCUGAUAUAUUUAUAAGGUUAAGUAGAUAUCCUAAGAUCAAGAAAGAAUCAUCUUCCUGUGCUGUUAAAGUUGUUCAGCCUACAUUGAAGAUGUUGACUGAUGAGAACUCAGAGGCAAUAUGGGAUGCUGCAGUUCAUUUGUUAUGCACCAUAGCAACCUCAUUUCCAUUUUCGAUUCGUAGUCAUUAUGAUGGUGUUGAAUCUGCUAUCGCUUUAAAACUUUUGUCUGGAGGAUGCAGUCUUGAUAUGUCGCAGGUAAUAUGCUCA
Molecule: non-coding RNA, 341 nt
Organism: Vigna umbellata (rice bean)
Lineage: Eukaryota; Viridiplantae; Streptophyta; Magnoliopsida; Fabales; Fabaceae
Source: RefSeq, a predicted model, not a curated record